GCCAUCAUUCAGUUGGGCACUCUAGCGAGACUGCCGGUAAUAAACCGGAGGAAGUGGGGAUGACGUCAAUCAUCAUGCCCCUUAUGACCUGGGCUACACACGUGCUACAAUGGUUGGUACAACGAGUUGCGAGUCGGUGACGGCGAGCUAAUCUCUUAAAGCCAAUCUCAGUUCGGAUUGUAGGCUGCAACUCGCCUACAUGAAGUCGGAAUCGCUAGUAAUCGCGGAUCAGCACGCCGCGGUGAAUACGUUCCCGGGCCUU
RNAcentral lists this ribosomal RNA (262 nucleotides) under uncultured Streptococcus sp. RNAcentral's name for it is "partial 16S ribosomal RNA". It matches the Rfam family "Bacterial small subunit ribosomal RNA", at positions 1117 to 1382 of the family's 1533-position model. The record is from RNAcentral. Lineage: Bacteria; Bacillati; Bacillota; Bacilli; Lactobacillales; Streptococcaceae.